CAAUAGCGUAUAUUAAAGUUGUUGCAGUUAAAAAGCUCGUAGUUGGAUUUCUGGUGGGAGCGAUCGGUCUGGCGCUUAGCGCGAGUACUUGCAUCGUCUCCGGCCAUCCUUGGGGAGAGUCUGUCUGGCAUUAGGUUGUCGGGCAGAGGAUCUUCAUCGUUUACUGUGAAAAAAUUAGAGUGUUCAAAGCAGGCUUAUGCCGUUGAAUAUAUUAGCAUGGAAUAAUAAGAUAGGACUUUGGUACUAUUUUGUUGGUUUGCGCACCAAAGUAAUGAUUAAUAGGGACAGCUGGGGGUAUUCGUAUUCCGUUGUCAGAGGUGAAAUUCUUGGAUUUACGGAAGACGAACUACUGCGAAAGCAUUUACCAAGGAUGUUUUCAUUAA
RNAcentral lists this ribosomal RNA (383 nucleotides) under uncultured eukaryote. RNAcentral describes it as "partial 18S ribosomal RNA". It matches the Rfam family "Eukaryotic small subunit ribosomal RNA", at positions 592 to 976 of the family's 1831-position model. The record is from RNAcentral.